RNAcentral lists this ribosomal RNA (446 nucleotides) under uncultured bacterium. RNAcentral describes it as "bacterial SSU rRNA". It matches the Rfam family "Bacterial small subunit ribosomal RNA", at positions 331 to 792 of the family's 1533-position model. The record is from RNAcentral.
CCAGACUCCUACGGGAGGCAGCAGUGGGGAAUAUUGGGCAAUGGGCGCAAGCCUGACCCAGCAACGCCGCGUGAAGGAAGAAGGCUUUCGGGUUGUAAACUUCUUUUAAGAGGGAAGAGCAGAAGACGGUACCUCUUGAAUAAGCCACGGCUAACUACGUGCCAGCAGCCGCGGUAAUACGUAGGUGGCAAGCGUUGUCCGGAUUUACUGGGUGUAAAGGGCGUGUAGCCGGGAAGGCAAGUCAGAUGUGAAAUCUGGAGGCUCAACCUCCAAAUUGCAUUUGAAACUGUUUUUCUUGAGUACUGGAGAGGCAGACGGAAUUCCUUGUGUAGCGGUGAAAUGCGUAGAUAUCAGGAGGAACACCGGUGGCGAAGGCGGCCUGCUGGACUGCAACUGACGUUGAGGCCCGAAAGCGUGGGGAGCAAACAGGAUUAGAUACCCGAGUA